ACGCCCGUAGCUCAGCUGGUAGAGCGCCUCCCUUACAAGGAGGAUGUCGGGGGUUCGAGUCCCUCCGGGCGUACCA
This 76-nucleotide transfer RNA is filed under the name Planctomycetota bacterium. Its description in RNAcentral is "Planctomycetes bacterium (bioreactor metagenome) tRNA-Val". It matches the Rfam family "tRNA". Rfam says of the family: Transfer RNA (tRNA) molecules are approximately 80 nucleotides in length. Their secondary structure includes four short double-helical elements and three loops (D, anti-codon, and T loops). Further hydrogen bonds mediate the characteristic L-shaped molecular structure. tRNAs have two regions of fundamental functional importance: the anti-codon, which is responsible for specific mRNA codon recognition, and the 3' end, to which the tRNAs corresponding amino acid is attached (by aminoacyl-tRNA synthetases). tRNAs cope with the degeneracy of the genetic code in two manners: having more than one tRNA (with a specific anti-codon) for a particular amino acid; and 'wobble' base-pairing, i.e. permitting non-standard base-pairing at the 3rd anti-codon position. The record is from RNAcentral. Lineage: Bacteria; Pseudomonadati; Planctomycetota.